RNAcentral lists this microRNA precursor (77 nucleotides) under Mus pahari (shrew mouse). Its description in RNAcentral is "miRNA (MGP_PahariEiJ_G0007476.1)". The record is from RNAcentral. Lineage: Eukaryota; Metazoa; Chordata; Mammalia; Rodentia; Muridae.
CCUAGAACUUACUUUGUAGACCAGUCUGGCCUCAGACUCACAGAGAUCCGCCUGCCUCUGCUCCUGAGUUCUGGGAU